UACGUAGGGUGCUAGCGUUGUUCGGAAUCAUUGGGCGUAAAGCGCGUGUAGGCGGUCAUUUAAGUCGGGUGUGAAAUCCCUGGGCUCAACCGAGGAAGUGCAUCCGAAACUAAGUGGCUUGAAGAUGGUAGAGGAAGGUGGAAUUCCUAGUGUAGAGGUGAAAUUCGUAGAUAUUAGGAGGAAUACCGGUGGCGAAGGCGGCCUUCUGGACCAUUCUUGACGCUAAGACGCGAAAGCGUGGGGAGCAAACAGG
This 253-nucleotide unclassified non-coding RNA is filed under the name uncultured Oligoflexales bacterium. Its description in RNAcentral is "contains 16S-23S intergenic spacer region". It matches the Rfam family "Bacterial small subunit ribosomal RNA", at positions 524 to 776 of the family's 1533-position model. The record is from RNAcentral. Lineage: Bacteria; Pseudomonadati; Bdellovibrionota; Oligoflexia; Oligoflexales.